RNAcentral lists this ribosomal RNA (523 nucleotides) under uncultured Bacillus sp. RNAcentral's name for it is "bacterial SSU rRNA". It matches the Rfam family "Bacterial small subunit ribosomal RNA", at positions 59 to 563 of the family's 1533-position model. Lineage: Bacteria; Bacillati; Bacillota; Bacilli; Caryophanales; Bacillaceae. The record is from RNAcentral.
AACUGGCGGGUCUAUCAUCAGUGAGCGAGAUCUUCGGAGUCUAGCGGCGGACGGGUGAGUACACGUGGGCAACCUGCCUGUAAGACUGGGAUACACCGGGAAACCGGUGCUAAUACCGGAUAAUCCUUUUCCUCUCAUGAGGAAAAGCUGAAAGACGGUUUCGGCUGUCACUUACAGAUGGGCCCGCGGCGCAUUAGCUAGUUGGUGAGGUAACGGCUCACCAAGGCGACGAUGCGUAGCCGACCUGAGAGGGUGAUCGGCCACACUGGGACUGAGACACGGCCCAGACUCCUACGGGAGGCAGCAGUAGGGAAUCUUCCACAAUGGACGAAAGUCUGAUGGAGCAACGCCGCGUGAGCGAUGAAGGCCUUCGGGUCGUAAAGCUCUGUUGUUAGGGAAGAACAAGUACCGGAGUAACUGCCGGUACCUUGACGGUACCUAACCAGAAAGCCACGGCUAACUACGUGCCAGCAGCCGCGGUAAUACGUAGGUGGCAAGCGUUGUCCGGAAUUAUUGGGCGUAA